Long non-coding RNA from Mauremys mutica (yellowpond turtle), 314 nucleotides. RefSeq lists it as uncharacterized. The transcript has 3 exons. Lineage: Eukaryota; Metazoa; Chordata; Testudines; Geoemydidae. The record is from RefSeq and is a predicted model, not a curated record.
GCAUCUUUCAAGCUCUAUCCUAGGAUCCUGGAAUAAAACACGUGUAGAAGGAAAACCUGCUGAUCUAUCAAAAUGUCAGAAGAAAUGAUUUCAGAUGGUUAGGAAAUGGUUGCUUUUAGGGCCAGGAGAAGAUGGCUUCCUGUCUCUAAUGAGCAAAGUCCUCAUCUUAAGAAAAUCUAUCCCUCCCAGUUAUCAGCCAGACUAAAACUGCUCUAACAUUUGGAAACAUUGCACAAACUUUAUAUAAACUGCAAAAACGUAUUUUAAAAAAUAUUCUCAUAAAGCGUAUCAGAGGGGAUUAUUGUCACUCCUGU